RNAcentral lists this ribosomal RNA (451 nucleotides) under uncultured bacterium. Its description in RNAcentral is "bacterial SSU rRNA". It matches the Rfam family "Bacterial small subunit ribosomal RNA", at positions 29 to 524 of the family's 1533-position model. The record is from RNAcentral.
AACGAACGCUGGCGGCAGGCUUAACACAUGCAAGUCGAGCGCCCCGCAAGGGGAGCGGCAGACGGGUGAGUAACGCGUGGGAACAUACCCUUUGGUUCGGAAUAACUCAGGGAAACUUGAGCUAAUACCGGAUACGUCCGUAAGGAGAAAGAUUUAUCGCCAAAGGAUUGGCCCGCGUCCGAUUAGCUAGUUGGUGAGGUAACGGCUCACCAAGGCUACGAUCGGUAGCUGGUCUGAGAGGAUGAUCAGCCACAUUGGGACUGAGACACGGCCCAAACUCCUACGGGAGGCAGCAGUGGGGAAUAUUGGACAAUGGGCGCAAGCCUGAUCCAGCCAUGCCGCGUGAGUGACGAAGGCCUUAGGGUUGUAAAGCUCUUUUGUCCGGGAAGAUAAUGACUGUACCGGAAGAAUAAAGCCCCGGGCUAAACUUCGCGCCAGCAGCCGCGGUAAU